CGGUUCACCUUUAGGUGACUAAUAGGGAAUCGGGUGGAAAUCCCGAGCAGACCCGCUGCUGUGAGUCGUCUUUUUCGGCGCAAACACAUCGUCACUGAGAUUAUCGGGAAGACGUUUGCUGCCAGACGACAAGUCAGAAGACCUGCCGAUUUGUCU
RNAcentral lists this non-coding RNA (156 nucleotides) under uncultured Prevotella sp. The record is from RNAcentral. Lineage: Bacteria; Pseudomonadati; Bacteroidota; Bacteroidia; Bacteroidales; Prevotellaceae.